CAAAGGUUCUCUCAGUACGGUCGGAAAUCGUACGUAGAGUGUAAAGGCAAAAGAGAGCUUGAUUGCAAGACAUACAGGUCGAGCAAGGAUGAAAAUCGGACUUAGUGAUCCGGUGGUUCUGCGUGGAAGGGCCAUCGCCCAACGGAUAAAAGCUACCCUGGGGAUAACAGGCUUAUCUCCCCCAAGAGUCCACAUCGACGGGGAGGUUUGGCACCUCGAUGUCGGCUCAUCACAUCCUGGGGCUGUAGUAGGUCCCAAGGGUUGGGCUGUUCGCCCAUUAAAGUGGUACGCGAGCUGGGUUCAGAACGUCGUGAGACAGUUCGGUCCCUAUCCGUCGCAGGCGUAGGAAAUUUG
Molecule: ribosomal RNA, 354 nt
Filed under: Clostridioides difficile
Lineage: Bacteria; Bacillati; Bacillota; Clostridia; Peptostreptococcales; Peptostreptococcaceae
Description: partial 23S ribosomal RNA
Rfam family: Bacterial large subunit ribosomal RNA
Source: RNAcentral